UACGUAGGGUGCGAGCGUUAAUCGGAAUUACUGGGCGUAAAGCGUGCGCAGGCGGUUUUGUAAGACAGGCGUGAAAUCCCCGGGCUCAACCUGGGAAUGGCGCUUGUGACUGCAAGGCUGGAGUGCGACAGAGGGGGAUGGAAUUCCCCGUGUAGCAGUGAAAUGCGUAGAUAUGCGGAGGAACACCGAUGGCGAAGGCAAUCCCCUGGGCCUGCACUGACGCUCAUGCAAGAAAGCGUGGGGAGCAAACAGG
RNAcentral lists this ribosomal RNA (253 nucleotides) under uncultured bacterium. Its description in RNAcentral is "partial 16S ribosomal RNA". It matches the Rfam family "Bacterial small subunit ribosomal RNA", at positions 524 to 776 of the family's 1533-position model. The record is from RNAcentral.